CUACGGGUGGCACCAGUGGGGAAUAUUGCGCAAUGGGGGAAACCCUGACGCAGCCAUGCCGCGUGAGUGAAGAAGGCCCUCGGGUUGUAAAACUCUUUCAACGGUGAAGAUGAUGACUGUAGCCGUAGAAGAAGCUCCGGCUAACUUCGUGCCAGCAGCCGCGGUAAUACGAAGGGAGCUAGCGUUGUUCGGAAUUACUGGGCGUAAAGGGCGCGUAGGCGGACUACCCAGUCAGAGGUGAAAUCCCGGGGCUCAACCCCGGAACUGCCUUUGAUACUGGUGGUCUUGAGUCCGUGAGAGGGUGGUGGAAUACCCAGUGUAGAGGUGAAAUUCGUAGAUAUUGGGUGGAACACCAGUGGCGAAGGCGGCCACCUGGCACGGUACUGACGCUGAGGCGCGAAAGCGUGGGGAGCAAACAGGAUUAGAUACCCUAGUAGUC
This 439-nucleotide ribosomal RNA is filed under the name uncultured bacterium. Its description in RNAcentral is "partial 16S ribosomal RNA". It matches the Rfam family "Bacterial small subunit ribosomal RNA", at positions 339 to 795 of the family's 1533-position model. The record is from RNAcentral.